This is a long non-coding RNA of Octopus sinensis (East Asian common octopus), 207 nucleotides long. RefSeq lists it as uncharacterized. NCBI's taxonomy places the organism in Eukaryota, Metazoa, Mollusca, Cephalopoda, Octopoda, Octopodidae. The transcript is spliced from 2 exons. The record is from RefSeq and is a predicted model, not a curated record.
AGUUUUAGUAUCACAAUGGACUUUAUCAGAAAGACAAAACUUUUAUCAUUUUAAGAAGGAAUUUUCAGAGUAAGAUUGAGGGGAGAAAUCACAAUAGGGAGCAAAGAGUGAUUUAGAGAUGGAUAGAUAGAUGGAUGGAGAGAUAAGUAUGUGGAUAAAGGUGUAAUCACAAAGAUAUAUAUAUAUAUAUAUGGAUAGAUAAAUACA